This is a long non-coding RNA of Peromyscus californicus insignis, 1359 nucleotides long. RefSeq lists it as uncharacterized. The record is from RefSeq and is a predicted model, not a curated record. Lineage: Eukaryota; Metazoa; Chordata; Mammalia; Rodentia; Cricetidae. The transcript is spliced from 2 exons.
GUGUGCACCUCAGCUCUGUGGAGGAGGAAAGGGAGGUUCUGGAGGUUUCUUAAGGAGAGUUUAAGAGACCAGAUGUCCAUCUUCUCACAGCACAUUCUUAAACACAAUUUGCAACAGCCCAGGCAUUCCAUUCAAAUUAGGAGCUGUUUUGAAAAGAAACGAAGACGUUAGCCACUGAUACAGGCCGUCUGGAAGGGCAGGACAGUUAAGACUCACAAUCAGAGUUUUCUAGCCAACCUCAGAAUCAUGGCUGCGCUACAGCUGGAUCCCUGAAAGCCUCCACACAUGCUGUGGGCAGACUCCUUCUGAGAGGGUGAGUCCAUGACGGCAGAGCAAAGGCAUGGCGGCAGAAACAGCUGAGAGCUCACAUCUGGAUCUGCAAGGACGAGGCAGUGAGCACACUGGAAAAAGGUGGCCUGUCCUCUGGAAGCUCAAAUUCCGCACCUAGUGACACACCUCCUUGAACAAGGCCACAAGGCCACACCUGCUAAUUCUUCCCGAAUUGUUUACCAGCUGGGAACCAAGUAUUCAAACAAAUGAGCCCCCAGCAGGAGCCAUUCUCAUUCAAACCACCCAGGAGUGAGGGAGGGGAAAAAAGACAAACACUUAGACACACUGAAGCCUGGGACGGGACUGAUGGAGACGCCUCAGCACCCAGAAGCUCAGGGCGUAUUUUAUAUACAGUUGAACAGAGUGGGGUUAUUGUAUACAGCUGAACAAGGUGGCGGGGUUAUUGCAUACAGAUAAAGAAGGAGGCAGAGCUUAUGGUAUAACACCGGGCCAAGGAGACAAGUUUAGCCAAUCUUGGCAGGAACAGUCUUCAGACCAGAAUAUGGGGGAGUGGACAAGAAGCUAUGGUGGGCAUUUUUUUCUGCAUAUAUUAUCAACAUCCACAUGUGGAAGGCUCCGCUAUCCCGCUGAGCCUCACUCUAGACCAGUGGUUCUCAACCUUCUGAACGCUGCAACCCUCUAAUACAGUUCCUCAUGUGGCGGUGACCCCCUCCAACCAUAAAAUACUUUGCCAUGUCGUAGCUGUGAUUUUGCGACUGUUAUGAACCAUAAUGUAAAUACUUUUGGAGACAGAGGUUUGCCAAAGGGGUGGUGACCCACAAGUUUGUCGUGGACAUUUCUAUUGCGUUUAUUAGUGUAUUAUCGUUGUACAAAACAAUAGAUUUAUGACGUUUGACGUUAUGACCUUAUGACGUUUUCACGCAUGUAAGUCAUGUACUUUGGUCAAAUUCAGUCCCCAUUAUCCUUUCUCACUCCCCUUCCUUGACACUAAAGCAUUUCAUCUUUCUGUCUAUCCCUGUACCAAUACCAUCCCGCCUCCUUAUUAAAGUUUUGAUAGCUACACGGUAA